This is a long non-coding RNA of Limulus polyphemus (Atlantic horseshoe crab), 596 nucleotides long. RefSeq lists it as uncharacterized. The transcript is spliced from 3 exons. The record is from RefSeq and is a predicted model, not a curated record. Lineage: Eukaryota; Metazoa; Arthropoda; Merostomata; Xiphosura; Limulidae.
UUAAAAUACUUCAAUUAUCUAUUCCAUAAAAAUAUUGAAAAUAGCCUUUCUUUCAUUUUAGGUUAUUCUACGUUUCCAAGUUCAGCGUGGGGUUAUUGUCAUUCCAAAAAGUGUAAGAAAAGAAAGAAUUGUGGAAAACAUUCAGUUAUUCGAUUUUGAAUUAGCUAAAGAAGACAUGGAGGAGAUUGAAAACUUUGACAGAGGUUACAGAUUUUGUCACCUCAACUGGAUGAAACAUCACCCACAUUAUCCUUUCAAAGAUGAAUAAUUGGAGAUUAGUUUUUAUGAAGAGAUAAUACAUCUCAGUGUGACAGACUGUUUAACCAGAUUGAUGAACUGAUUUUUAUGGCAUACCGUCUCUAAUAUGUUUUGUUUUCUGAAUUGAGCACAACCUUUUUGUUGUUGUUGUUGUUGCCAUUUCUUUUACUAUGUUUAUGUAGUAGGUGCUUAAAUUUGUAUAUGUUCAACAUAUAUGCACAGUUUGUGAUUUAGUAAUUAUAAUGAAGUUGAUAUGAGGAGAUAGAUACACUUUCCAAUAUAGCAGAGACACCUUCUGGCAUAUUAUUUUGUUGCAAUAAACUGUUUUAAACCACUGU